This 75-nucleotide transfer RNA is filed under the name Ailuropoda melanoleuca (giant panda). It matches the Rfam family "tRNA". Rfam says of the family: Transfer RNA (tRNA) molecules are approximately 80 nucleotides in length. The record is from Rfam by way of RNAcentral. Lineage: Eukaryota; Metazoa; Chordata; Mammalia; Carnivora; Ursidae.
GCCCAGCUGGCUCAGGUGGUAGAGAGCAUGUGACUCUUGAUCUCAGGGUUGUGAGUUCAAGCCCCAUGUUGGGCA